UAAGUAAUCCAGAAAUGACUUAAAAAUGACC
This 31-nucleotide non-coding RNA is filed under the name Rattus norvegicus (Norway rat). The record is from RNAcentral. Lineage: Eukaryota; Metazoa; Chordata; Mammalia; Rodentia; Muridae.